GGUUAAGCGACUAAGCGUACACGGUGGAUGCCCUGGCAGUCAGAGGCGAUGAAGGACGUGCUAAUCUGCGAAAAGCGUCGGUAAGGUGAUAUGAACCGUUAUAACCGGCGAUGUCCGAAUGGGGAAACCCAGUGUGAUUCGUCACACUAUCGUUAACUGAAUACAUAGGUUAACGAGGCGAACCGGGGGAACUGAAACAUCUAAGUACCCCGAGGAAAAGAAAUCAACCGAGAUUCCCCCAGUAGCGGCGAGCGAACGGGGAGCAGCCCAGAGUCUGAAUCAGCUUGUGUGUUAGUGGAACGGUCUGGAAAGUCCGACGGUACAGGGUGAUAGUCCCGUACACCAAAAUGCACAGGUUGUGAACUCGAAGAGUAGGGCGGGACACGUGGUAUCCUGUCUGAAUAUGGGGGGACCAUCCUCCAAGGCUAAAUACUCCUGACUGACCGAUAGUGAACCAGUACCGUGAGGGAAAGGCGAAAAGAACCCCGGCGAGGGGAGUGAAAAAGAACCUGAAACCGUGUACGUACAAGCAGUGGGAGCACCUUCGGGUGUGACUGCGUACCUUUUGUAUAAUGGGUCAGCGACUUAUAUUCUGUAGCAAGGUUAACCGUAUAGGGGAGCCGCAGGGAAACCGAGUCUUAACUGGGCGUUAAGUUGCAGGGUAUAGACCCGAAACCCGGUGAUCUAGCCAUGGGCAGGUUGAAGGUUGGGUAACACUAACUGGAGGACCGAACCGACUAAUGUUGAAAAAUUAGCGGAUGACUUGUGGCUGGGGGUGAAAGGCCAAUCAAACCGGGAGAUAGCUGGUUCUCCCCGAAAGCUAUUUAGGUAGCGCCUCGUGAAUUCAUCUUCGGGGGUAGAGCACUGUUUCGGCUAGGGGGUCAUCCCGACUUACCAACCCGAUGCAAACUACGAAUACCGAAGAAUGUUAUCACGGGAGACACACGGCGGGUGCUAACGUCCGUCGUGAAGAGGGAAACAACCCAGACCGCCAGCUAAGGUCCCAAAGUCAUGGUUAAGUGGGAAACGAUGUGGGAAGGCACAGACAGCCAGGAUGUUGGCUUAGAAGCAGCCAUCAUUUAAAGAAAGCGUAAUAGCUCACUGGUCGAGUCGGCCUGCGCGGAAGAUGUAACGGGGCUAAACCAUGCACCGAAGCUGCGGCAGCGACACUAUGUGUUGUUGGGUAGGGGAGCGUUCUGUAAGCCUGCGAAGGUGACCUGUGAGGGUUGCUGGAGGUAUCAGAAGUGCGAAUGCUGACAUAAGUAACGAUAAAGCGGGUGAAAAGCCCGCUCGCCGGAAGACCAAGGGUUCCUGUCCAACGUUAAUCGGGGCAGGGUGAGUCGACCCCUAAGGCGAGGCCGAAAGGCGUAGUCGAUGGGAAACAGGUUAAUAUUCCUGUACUUGGUGUUACUGCGAAGGGGGGACGGAGAAGGCUAUGUUAGCCGGGCGACGGUUGUCCCGGUUUAAGCAUGUAGGCUGGUUAUCCAGGCAAAUCCGGAUAAUCAAGGCUGAGGUGUGAUGACGAGGCACUACGGUGCUGAAGUAACAAAUGCCCUGCUUCCAGGAAAAGCCUCUAAGCAUCAGGUAACAUCAAAUCGUACCCCAAACCGACACAGGUGGUCAGGUAGAGAAUACCAAGGCGCUUGAGAGAACUCGGGUGAAGGAACUAGGCAAAAUGGUGCCGUAACUUCGGGAGAAGGCACGCUGGUGUGUAGGUGAAGUCCCUGCGGAUGGAGCUGAGACCAGUCGAAGAUACCAGCUGGCUGCAACUGUUUAUUAAAAACACAGCACUGUGCAAACACGAAAGUGGACGUAUACGGUGUGACGCCUGCCCGGUGCCGGAAGGUUAAUUGAUGGGGUUAUCCGUAAGGAGAAGCUCUUGAUCGAAGCCCCGGUAAACGGCGGCCGUAACUAUAACGGUCCUAAGGUAGCGAAAUUCCUUGUCGGGUAAGUUCCGACCUGCACGAAUGGCGUAAUGAUGGCCAGGCUGUCUCCACCCGAGACUCAGUGAAAUUGAACUCGCUGUGAAGAUGCAGUGUACCCGCGGCAAGACGGAAAGACCCCGUGAACCUUUACUAUAGCUUGACACUGAACAUUGAGCCUUGAUGUGUAGGAUAGGUGGGAGGCUUUGAAGCGUGGACGCCAGUCUGCGUGGAGCCAACCUUGAAAUACCACCCUUUAAUGUUUGAUGUUCUAACGUUGGCCCCUUAUCGGGGUUGCGGACAGUGUCUGGUGGGUAGUUUGACUGGGGCGGUCUCCUCCCAAAGCGUAACGGAGGAGCACGAAGGUUAGCUAAUCCUGGUCGGACAUCAGGAGGUUAGUGCAAUGGCAUAAGCUAGCUUGACUGCGAGCGUGACGGCGCGAGCAGGUGCGAAAGCAGGUCAUAGUGAUCCGGUGGUUCUGAAUGGAAGGGCCAUCGCUCAACGGAUAAAAGGUACUCCGGGGAUAACAGGCUGAUACCGCCCAAGAGUUCAUAUCGACGGCGGUGUUUGGCACCUCGAUGUCGGCUCAUCACAUCCUGGGGCUGAAGUAGGUCCCAAGGGUAUGGCUGUUCGCCAUUUAAAGUGGUACGCGAGCUGGGUUUAGAACGUCGUGAGACAGUUCGGUCCCUAUCUGCCGUGGGCGCUGGAGAAUUGAGGGGGGCUGCUCCUAGUACGAGAGGACCGGAGUGGACGCAUCACUGGUGUUCGGGUUGUCAUGCCAAUGGCACUGCCCGGUAGCUAAAUGCGGAAGAGAUAAGUGCUGAAAGCAUCUAAGCACGAAACUUGCCCCGAGAUGAGUUCUCCCUGAGACUUUAAGUCUCCUGAAGGAACGUUGAAGACGACGACGUUGAUAGGCCGGGUGUGUAAGCGCAGCGAUGCGUUGAGCUAACCGGUACUAAUGAACCGUGAGGCUUAACCUUACAACGCCGAAGAUGUUUUG
Molecule: ribosomal RNA, 2922 nt
Filed under: Klebsiella pneumoniae
Lineage: Bacteria; Pseudomonadati; Pseudomonadota; Gammaproteobacteria; Enterobacterales; Enterobacteriaceae
Description: bacterial LSU rRNA
Rfam family: Bacterial large subunit ribosomal RNA
Source: RNAcentral